GACGAACGCUGGCGGCGUGCCUAAUACAUGCAAGUAGAACGCUGAAGAGAGGAGCUUGCUCUUCUUGGAUGAGUUGCGAACGGGUGAGUAACGCGUAGGUAACCUGCCUGGUAGCGGGGGAUAACUAUUGGAAACGAUAGCUAAUACCGCAUAAAAUUGAUUAUUGCAUGAUAAUUAAUUGAAAGAUGCAAUUGCAUCACUACCAGAUGGACCUGCGUUGUAUUAGCUAGUUGGUGAGGUAACGGCUCACCAAGGCGACGAUACAUAGCCGACCUGAGAGGGUGAUCGGCCACACUGGGACUGAGACACGGCCCAGACUCCUACGGGAGGCAGCAGUAGGGAAUCUUCGGCAAUGGGGGGAACCCUGACCGAGCAACGCCGCGUGAGUGAAGAAGGUUUUCGGAUCGUAAAGCUCUGUUGUAAGAGAAGAACGGGUGUGAGAGUUGAAAGUUCACACUGUGACGGUAUCUUACCAGAAAGGGACGGCUAACUACGUGC
Molecule: ribosomal RNA, 498 nt
Filed under: uncultured Streptococcus sp.
Lineage: Bacteria; Bacillati; Bacillota; Bacilli; Lactobacillales; Streptococcaceae
Description: bacterial SSU rRNA
Rfam family: Bacterial small subunit ribosomal RNA
Source: RNAcentral